AGCUAAUUAGCUUAUAUAAAAGCCUUUACUUUGAAAGUAAAAGAAAGAAUAGAUUUAUUAGCUU
Molecule: transfer RNA, 64 nt
Filed under: Nephotettix virescens
Lineage: Eukaryota; Metazoa; Arthropoda; Insecta; Hemiptera; Cicadellidae
Description: tRNA-Ser
Source: RNAcentral